AUUGAACGCUGGCGGCAUGCUUUACACAUGCAAGUCGAACGGCAGCGAGGAGAAGCUUGCUUCUCUGUCGGCGAGUGGCGAACGGGUGAGUAUAGCAUCGGAACGUGCCAAGUAGUGGGGGAUAACCAAACGAAAGUUUGGCUAAUACCGCGUAAGCUCUAAGGAGGAAAGUAGGGGACCUAAAUAAGGCCUUACGCUAUUUGAUCGGCCGAUGUCGGAUUAGCUAGUUGGUGGGGUAAUGGCUCACCAAGGCAAUGAUCCGUAGCGGGUCUGAGAGGACGAUCCGCCACACUGGGACUGAGACACGGCCCAGACUCCUACGGGAGGCAGCAGUGGGGAAUUUUGGACAAUGGGGGAAACCCUGAUCCAGCCAUGCCGCGUGUAUGAAGAAGGCCUUAGGGUUGUAAAGUACUUUUGUUAGGGAAGAAAAGCUAGUUUUUAAUAAAAAGUAGUGAUGACGGUACCUAAAGAAUAAGCACCGGCUAACUACGUG
This 493-nucleotide ribosomal RNA is filed under the name uncultured bacterium. RNAcentral describes it as "partial 16S ribosomal RNA". It matches the Rfam family "Bacterial small subunit ribosomal RNA", at positions 30 to 507 of the family's 1533-position model. The record is from RNAcentral.